CUUAACUGGACUGAAGGGGGUCCCAGGUAUCAGCAAGGUUUAAAAGCUACCCAGGUGAUUGCAAUGCACAGCCCAGGAGGAGAACCACUGACUUAAGCAAAUCUAAAUGGGGAUUUUGUUCCCCUAACUCAGCAUCCAAACCUGCCUCACCACACCACAGCCUAUUUGAGAAAAAGCCAGAGGGAUAUCGCAGCACCCUCUUUGGACUGAGUGGUUUAAUACGCCCCUGUGAAGAUAGUCAGGCAAAGGAGCCAGAGGAUAUGGUCCCUGAAUACGCAGAAGACACGGGAGUGAGGAAAAGAACAGCUGGAGUUUUGAACUGCCAGCAGACCACUCAGGACAUGCUCCUCCUGACCUGCACCUUCCGUCACAGCUUGGGCCUGCUACCUGGACUCAAGACAGAAAAACAGCCCUGCAGGGAAAAGCGGACAUGACUAGCAACAAAGCCUUUUAAUCAAAAUUUCAUGCCGGAGCCCUCUCUACAAAACAGAUAACAGUGGCGCUGCAGUGGUUGGAGCAGAGCUCAGAGAUCUGCAAGAGCUUUGGUGAUAGGAGCUGUUGGCCUAGGUCUCAAUACCAAACACAUGAAAAACGCCACCAAACGCAGACUGAGGACCCUGUCACAGGGCAUGCCUGACUCUUGGUGGAGUAAAAAGAGCAAGGAUUUCACAGGCAAACUGAUUCCAGUGUCAAGUCUCCCACUUGCUCACUGCGUGCACUGAGGAGGUAAUCAAUAUUCCCAAGCCUCAGUUUCUUCACCUGGGGAAGAGUCAUCCCACAGCUGCCAGGUGCACCUCUAAGCAAAACAAACCAUCAAUGAACGCGUAUCCUUGGACAAUGGAUGAGCUUUUGAUGACUAGUUGUUUCAACAAUGCUGCAGUUGCUUCAAAUCUUGCGUUAGGGUAGAGGAGUAGCCUGGAGCAGGGAGAGUCCUCUCUGGAAUUACCAUCAUCCUUGGAACACAUUCUUAACAUCCUCAAAGGUUCAUUCUUUAAGGGAUGGAAAACUUUUACCCUUGGGGAUCAAACUGGAUGAUGUCAUAUGGUAUCAACAUAUAAAAUGUGAUUACAAAGUAACUUAUUAUCUUGUUAACUUGUAGGCUGUUUUUGAACACAAUUGCAAAAGGGAAUUCCAAAAUAUUUUAGGUAACUAAAGGAUCCUGGAACAGAAAAAAAAAAAUUAGUGGAAAAAUUGGUAAAAUCCAAAUAAAGUCUGUACUUUAGUUGAUAA
RNAcentral lists this long non-coding RNA (1230 nucleotides) under Equus caballus (horse). Its description in RNAcentral is "lncRNA (ENSECAG00000056194.1)". The record is from RNAcentral. Lineage: Eukaryota; Metazoa; Chordata; Mammalia; Perissodactyla; Equidae.